UCAGCGUAAAUUCGCACCGGUAACGGGAACACAGUGAGGCCUUCCAAGGUCAAAUCUGCGGCUGUCCCUGCAACUGUAAGCGGCGAGCGAGAAAUACAGGCGGGUCACUCCGCAGCCACUGAACCUAAUGAUUUGUUCGGGAAGGUGUAUUCAAGCGAUGACCCGCAAACCAGGAGACCGACCGGAGCGAGUCGCUCUUG
This is a regulatory RNA element of Erythrobacter litoralis HTCC2594, 200 nucleotides long. NCBI's taxonomy places the organism in Bacteria, Pseudomonadati, Pseudomonadota, Alphaproteobacteria, Sphingomonadales, Erythrobacteraceae. The record is from Rfam.